GAUGAACGCUAGCUACAGGCUUAACACAUGCAAGUCGAGGGGUAACGAGAGGAAAGCUUGCUUUCCUUGUCGACGACCGGCGCACGGGUGAGUAACGCGUAUCCAACCUGCCCCCAACUAGGGAAUAACCCUGCGAACGUAAGACUAAUACCCCAUAAUUUCCUCAGAUGCCAUCUGACGAGGAAUAAAGAUUUAUCGGUUGUGGAUGGGGAUGCGUCUGAUUAGCUUGUUGGCGGGGUAACGGCCCACCAAGGCAACGAUCAGUAGGGGUUCUGAGAGGAAGGGCCCCCACAUUGGAACUGAGACACGGUCCAAACUCCUACGGGAGGCAGCAGUGAGGAAUAUUGGUCAAUGGGCGGAAGCCUGAACCAGCCAAGUAGCGUGCAGGAUGACGGCCCUAUGGGUUGUAAACUGCUUUUAUACAGGAAUAAAGUUAGCCACGUGUGGUUAUUUGUAGGUACUGUAUGAAUAAGGACCGGCUAAUUCCGUGCCAGCAGCCGCAGUAA
RNAcentral lists this ribosomal RNA (506 nucleotides) under uncultured bacterium. RNAcentral's name for it is "partial 16S ribosomal RNA". It matches the Rfam family "Bacterial small subunit ribosomal RNA", at positions 28 to 523 of the family's 1533-position model. The record is from RNAcentral.